GACGAACGCUGGCGGCGUGCUUAACACAUGCAAGUCGAACGGAAAGACCCUGCUUUUGUGGGGUGCUCGAGUGGCGAACGGGUGAGUAACACGUGAGUAACCUGCCCUUGACUUUGGGAUAACUUCAGGAAACUGGGGCUAAUACCGGAUAGGAGCUCCUGCUGCAUGGUGGGGGUUGGAAAGUUUCGGCGGUUGGGGAUGGACUCGCGGCUUAUCAGCUUGUUGGUGGGGUAGUGGCUUACCAAGGCUUUGACGGGUAGCCGGCCUGAGAGGGUGACCGGCCACAUGGGGACUGAGAUACGGCCCAGACUCCUACGGGAGGCAACAGUGGGGAAUAUUGCACAAUGGGCGGAAGCCUGAUGCAGCAACGCCGCGUGCGGGAUGACGGCCUUCGGGUUGUAAACCGCUUUCGCCUGUGACGAAGCGUGAGUGACGGUAAUGGGUAAAGAAGCACCGGCUAACUACGU
This 467-nucleotide ribosomal RNA is filed under the name uncultured bacterium. RNAcentral's name for it is "partial 16S ribosomal RNA". It matches the Rfam family "Bacterial small subunit ribosomal RNA", at positions 28 to 506 of the family's 1533-position model. The record is from RNAcentral.